UACGAAGGGGGCUAGCGUUGUUCGGAAUUACUGGGCGUAAAGCGCGCGCAGGCGGUCUUCCAAGUCAGUGGUGAAAGCCCGGAGCUCAACUCCGGAACUGCCAUUGAAACUGUAAGACUUGAGGACGAGAGAGGUGAGUGGAAUUCCCAGUGUAGAGGUGAAAUUCGUAGAUAUUGGGAAGAACACCAGUGGCGAAGGCGGCUCACUGGCUCGUAUCUGACGCUCAGGCGCGAAAGCGUGGGGAUCAAACAGG
Molecule: ribosomal RNA, 253 nt
Filed under: uncultured bacterium
Lineage: Bacteria
Description: partial 16S ribosomal RNA
Rfam family: Bacterial small subunit ribosomal RNA
Source: RNAcentral